RNAcentral lists this ribosomal RNA (502 nucleotides) under uncultured Desulfobulbus sp. Its description in RNAcentral is "bacterial SSU rRNA". It matches the Rfam family "Bacterial small subunit ribosomal RNA", at positions 903 to 1382 of the family's 1533-position model. The record is from RNAcentral. Lineage: Bacteria; Pseudomonadati; Thermodesulfobacteriota; Desulfobulbia; Desulfobulbales; Desulfobulbaceae.
GCCAGCCCGCUCAGAACUUAAAGGAAUGACGGGGCCCGCACAAGCGGUGGAGUAUGUGGUUUAAUUCGAUGCAACGCGAAGAACCUUACCUGGUCUUGACAUCCCGGAGACCCUUAGGAAACUAGGGGGUGCUUCCAUCUGGAAGAAUCUGGAGACAGGUGCUGCAUGGCUGUCGUCAGCUCGUGUCGUGAGAUGUUGGGUUAAGUCCCGCAACGAGCGCAACCCUUGCCUUUAGUUGCCAGCAGUUCGGCUGGGCACUCUAAAGGGACUGCCGGUGUUAAACCGGAGGAAGGUGGGGAUGACGUCAAGUCCUCAUGGCCCUUAUGACCAGGGCUACACACGUACUACAAUGGCCGAUACAAAGGGCAGCGACACUGCGAGGUGAAGCCAAUCCCGUAAAAUCGGUCUCAGUCCGGAUUGGAGUCUGCAACUCGACUCCAUGAAGUUGGAAUCGCUAGUAAUCGUGGAUCAGCAUGCCACGGUGAAUACGUUCCCGGGCCUU